RNAcentral lists this ribosomal RNA (396 nucleotides) under Lambiella caeca. RNAcentral describes it as "SSU rRNA". It matches the Rfam family "Bacterial small subunit ribosomal RNA", at positions 404 to 842 of the family's 1533-position model. The record is from RNAcentral. Lineage: Eukaryota; Fungi; Ascomycota; Lecanoromycetes; Baeomycetales; Xylographaceae.
AGUGCAGCAUCGACUAUGUCGAAUAAAGUUCUAGAUAGAGUUAUGAUAAUGACAUUUUCUAUCUAUGUGUCUCGACCAAAUCACGUGCCAGCAGUCGCGGUAAUACGUGGGAGACUAGUGUUAUUCAUCUUUAAUUGGUUUAAAGGGUACCUAGACGGUUCAUCAAGCCCCNAAAGGGUACUAAUGGACUAGAGUUUUAUGAGAGGGGGGGUGUACAUGAGAGUGGAGAGAUGAAAUACUGUCAUACCUUAUYUGAUACAGGCAACAGCGAAAGCAACCUUUUAUGUAAAAACUGACGUUGAAGGACGAAGGCUUAGUAUAACCAACAGGAUUAGAUACCCCAGCAGUCUUUGCAGACAAUGAUGAAUGUCAUAGAUUGGAAUUAAGUAUUUUUUU